GCCAACGUGGCAUAGUGGUUUGAGUGCUGGACUAUGAUUUUGGAGACCAGGGUUUGAUUCCUAGCUUGGGCA
Molecule: transfer RNA, 72 nt
Filed under: Phrynosoma platyrhinos (Desert horned lizard)
Lineage: Eukaryota; Metazoa; Chordata; Lepidosauria; Squamata; Phrynosomatidae
Description: tRNA-OTHER
Source: RNAcentral